GCCCGGGUGGUGGAAUGGUAUACACGCACGACUUAAAAUCGUGUGGCGCAAGCCUUGUGGGUUCGAGUCCCACCCCGGGCACCA
Molecule: transfer RNA, 84 nt
Filed under: bacterium
Lineage: Bacteria
Description: tRNA-Leu
Rfam family: tRNA
About the family: Transfer RNA (tRNA) molecules are approximately 80 nucleotides in length.
Source: RNAcentral